CCAGAAUGUGACCACUGGGAAUCUUCCCAGUAAAAUAUUAACCAACUCUGUCCUUAUUGAAUCAAAACAAUGAAUAACAAAAGAGGACUUUGACUCCAAUCUGAAGCCAUAAAACAAACUGGAUGAGGCAUGAUAAUUCAACAGGAAAGAGAUUACUGACCCUUCAUAGACUGGCAGCUCUUUAAAUUAAGAUGACUCCUAAGAGAAAAGAACUCCAUCCCAUUGCCUUCCUGAGAUGCUGGACCACUGUGGGCAGCUGCCCUUGGAAGAAGCAUGCCACUGUCUCCUUCAAACCCCUCAAAGUCUCAGCUUCUCUCAUACUUUUGGAAAUUCUCAAGAUUGAAUAGAGUGAGGUUCUUCUUCAGUAUCAUUAGUUCUUUCUACACCACAGAAGAAAUUCUAAUCUGAACAUAAACAUAUUUUGGAUUAAUAAAUUCUUCUAAAAGUAUCUGUAUUAUCUGUUUUCAUGCUGCUGAUAAAGACAUACCCGAGACUGGGAAGAAAAAGAGGUUUAAUUGGACUUACAGUUCCACAUGGCUGGGGAGGCCUCAGAAUCAUGGCAGAGGGUGAAAGGCAUUUCUUACAUGGCAGCAGCAAGAGAAAAUAAGGAUGCAGAAGUGGAAAGCCCUGAUAAAACCAUCAGAUCACGUGAG
This 653-nucleotide long non-coding RNA is filed under the name Macaca mulatta (Rhesus monkey). RNAcentral describes it as "lncRNA (ENSMMUG00000039594.2)". The record is from RNAcentral. Lineage: Eukaryota; Metazoa; Chordata; Mammalia; Primates; Cercopithecidae.